This 1244-nucleotide ribosomal RNA is filed under the name metagenome. RNAcentral describes it as "bacterial LSU rRNA". It matches the Rfam family "Bacterial large subunit ribosomal RNA", at positions 1564 to 2818 of the family's 2925-position model. The record is from RNAcentral.
UGAGUACGAGAUGCUACGGCGUCGAAGCAGUCUAGGUCAUACUUCCAAGAAAAGCUUGCACUGUCAUAAACAAAGAAUGCCUGUACCAUAACCGACACAGGUGGGUAGGUAGAGUAUACUAAGGGGCGCGAGAUAACUCUCUCUAAGGAACUCGGCAAAAUGACUCCGUAACUUCGGGAGAAGGAGUGCCUUAUUUUUAAGGUUGCAAUAACAAGAUCCAAGCAACUGUUUACCAAAAACACAGGUCUCCGCUAAGUCGUAAGACGAUGUAUGGGGGCUGACGCCUGCCCAGUGCCAGAAGGUUAAAGAAGUUGGUUAGCAUUUGCGAAGCUGAUAACUGAAGCCCUGGUGAACGGCGGCCGUAACAAUAACGGUCCUAAGGUAGCGAAAUUCCUUGUCGGGUAAGUUCCGACCCGCACGAAAGGCGUAAUGAUUUGGAUACUGUCUCGGAGAGGGGCUCGGUGAAAUAGACUUGUCUGUGAAGAUGCGGACUACCUGCACCUGGACAGAAAGACCCUAUGAAGCUUUACUGUAACUUGAGAUUGAAAUUGGACUUUAUUUGCGCAGUAUAGGUGGGAGGCGUUGAGAAUAAUCUUGCGGGAUUAUCGGAGCCAUCAGUGAGAUACCACUCUUGUAAUGUUAGAUUUCUAACUUUGUAUCAUUAUCUGGUCAAAGAACAGUUUCAGGCGGGCAGUUUGACUGGGGCGGUCGCCUCCCAAAGGGUAACGGAGGCGCACAAAGGUUUCCUCUGAACGGGUAGAAAUCGUAUCUAGAGUGUAAAGGCAUAAGGAAGCUUGACUGUGAGACCUACAAGUCGAGCAGGGACGAAAGUCGGUCUUAGUGAUCUGACGGUGCUGAGUGGAAAGGCCGUCACUCAACGGAUAAAAGUUACUCUAGGAUAACAGGCUGAUCUCCCCCAAGAGUUCACAUCGACGGGGAGGUUUGGCACCUCGAUGUCGGCUCAUCGCAUCCUGGGGCGGUAGUACGUCCCAAGGGUUGGGCUGUUCGCCCAUGAAAGCGGUACGCGAGCUGGGUUCAGAACGUCGUGAGACAGUUCGGUCCAUAUCCGGUGUAGGCGUUAGAAUAUUGAAAGGAGCCUUCUCUAGUACGAGAGGACCGAGAAGGACAUACCUCUGGUGUGCCAGUUAUCGUGCCAACGGUAAACGCUGGGUAGCUAUGUAUGGAGUGGAUAACCGCUGAAAGCAUCUAAGUGGGAAGCCCACCUUAAGAUAAGUAUUCUCAUC